This 633-nucleotide ribosomal RNA is filed under the name uncultured bacterium. Its description in RNAcentral is "bacterial SSU rRNA". It matches the Rfam family "Bacterial small subunit ribosomal RNA", at positions 28 to 654 of the family's 1533-position model. The record is from RNAcentral.
AUUGAACGCUGGCGGCAUGCCUUACACAUGCAAGUCGAACGGCAGCGCGUCCUUCGGGAUGGCGGCGAGUGGCGAACGGGUGAGUAAAGCAUCGGAACGUGCCCGGUAGUGCGGGAUAGCUCGGCGAAAGCCGGAUUAAUACCGCAUGAGAUCCGAGGAUGAAAGCAGGGGACUCGCAAGAGCCUUGCGCUACUGGAGCGGCCGAUGUCAGAUUAGGUAGUUGGUGGGGUAAAAGCCUACCAAGCCUGCGAUCUGUAGCUGGUCUGAGAGGAUGAUCAGCCACAUCGGGACUGAGACACGGCCCGAACUCCUACGGGAGGCAGCAGUGGGGAAUUUUGGACAAUGGGGGCAACCCUGAUCCAGCCAUGCCGCGUGCAGGAUGAAGGCCUUCGGGUUGUAAACUGCUUUUGUACGGAACGAAAAGGUCUUUUCUAAUAAAGAAGGCUGAUGACGGUACCGUAAGAAUAAGCACCGGCUAACUACGUGCCAGCAGCCGCGGUAAUACGUAGGGUGCGAGCGUUAAUCGGAAUUACUGGGCGUAAAGCGUGCGCAGGCGGUCUUGCAAGACAGUGGUGAAAUCCCCGGGCUCAACCUGGGAACUGCCAUUGUGACUGCAAGGCUGAAGUACGGCAA